UACGGAGGAUCCGAGCGUUGUCCGGAAUGACUGGGCGUAAAGGGUGUGUAGGCGGUUUAUUAAGUUAGAAGUGAAAUACCUAGGGCUUAACCCAGGUGCUGCUUCUAAAACUGAUAGACUUGAGUGCAGUAGAGGAAAGUGGAAUUCCUAGUGUAGCGGUGAAAUGCGUAGAUAUUAGGAGGAACACCAGUGGCGAAGGCGGCCUGCUGGACUGUAACUGACGUUGAGGCUCGAAAGCGUGGGGAGCAAACAGG
RNAcentral lists this ribosomal RNA (254 nucleotides) under uncultured Eubacteriales bacterium. RNAcentral describes it as "uncultured Clostridiales bacterium partial 16S ribosomal RNA". It matches the Rfam family "Bacterial small subunit ribosomal RNA", at positions 524 to 776 of the family's 1533-position model. The record is from RNAcentral. Lineage: Bacteria; Bacillati; Bacillota; Clostridia; Eubacteriales.